This 1011-nucleotide ribosomal RNA is filed under the name uncultured bacterium. Its description in RNAcentral is "bacterial SSU rRNA". The stretch from base 1 to 554 matches the Rfam family "Bacterial small subunit ribosomal RNA", at positions 908 to 1533 of the family's 1533-position model. The record is from RNAcentral.
AAUUGACGGGGACCCGCACAAGCGGUGGAUGAUGUGGUUUAAUUCGAUGCAACGCGAAAAACCUUACCUACCCUUGACAUGUCUGGAAUCUCGCAGAGAUGUGAGAGUGCUCGAAAGAGAACCAGAACACAGGUGCUGCAUGGCCGUCGUCAGCUCGUGUCGUGAGAUGUUGGGUUAAGUCCCGCAACGAGCGCAACCCUUGUCAUUAGUUGCUACGAAAGGGCACUCUAAUGAGACUGCCGGUGACAAACCGGAGGAAGGUGGGGAUGACGUCAGGUCCUCAUGGCCCUUAUGGGUAGGGCUACACACGUCAUACAAUGGCCGGUACAGAGGGCUGCCAACCCGCGAGGGGGAGCCAAUCCCAGAAAACCGGUCGUAGUCCGGAUCGCAGUCUGCAACUCGACUGCGUGAAGUCGGAAUCGCUAGUAAUCGCGGAUCAGCUUGCCGCGGUGAAUACGUUCCCGGGCCUUGUACACACCGCCAUCCAUAUGAGGAAUUUUGGACAAUGGGCGCAAGCCUGAUCCAGCCAUGCCGCGUGCGGGAAGAAGGCCUUCGGGUUGUAAACCGCUUUUGUCAGGGAAGAAACGCUCUGGGCUAAUACCCCGGGGUAAUGACGGUACCUGAAGAAUAAGCACCGGCUAACUACGUGCCAGCAGCCGCGGUAAUACGUAGGGUGCAAGCGUUAAUCGGAAUUACUGGGCGUAAAGCGUGCGCAGGCGGUUAUGCAAGACAGAUGUGAAAUCCCCGGGCUUAACCUGGGAACUGCAUUCGUGACUGCAUAGCUAGAGUGCGGCAGAGGGGGAUGGAAUUCCGCGUGUAGCAGUGAAAUGCGUAGAUAUGCGGAGGAACACCGAUGGCGAAGGCAAUCCCCUGGGCCUGCACUGACGCUCAUGCACGAAAGCGUGGGGAGCAAACAGGAUCAGAUACCCUGGUAGUCCACGCCCUAAACGAUGUCAACUGGUUGUUGGAAGGGUUCCCUUUCAGUAACGAAGCUAACGCGUGAAGUUGACC